GCUAAGCUGCUAAGGCUGGCCUUGAACUUGAAAUCCUCCUGUCUCAGCCUCCUAAAUAGCUGGAAUUACAGGCGUGUACCACCACACCCAGCAUAUAUGUGUUUAAUGGAAAAUUUUAAGAUAUAAUUGAUGUCCUUGAUUUAAAAAAAAAUCUGAGCUAGGCACUGUGAUGCACACUUGUAAUUCCAGCAACUGGGUCGGUUGAGGCAGGAGGAUGACAAGUUCAAGGCCAGCCUCAGCACUUAACAAGAUACUGUCUCAAAACAACAGUUGAUGGGGGGUGCCCUGGGGAUGAAGCUUAGAAUGAACCCCUGGGUUCAAUAACUCGGGCGUGCACACACACACACAGAUUAAAGAAAAAAAAUGACUGGAUGGUAUUAACAGUUGAUCGAACAACAAAGAAGAAAGGGUUAGUAAAUUUGAAAAGAAUGAAAUGUGAUUUAAAAUCACAAUGAAAUCAAGUGUCUGUCACAUAUCUGUAAUUCCAGCCACUCAGGCUCAGGCAGAUGGAUCCAAAGUUUGAGGCUAGCCUGGGCAAUUCAGUAAGAGUCUCAAAAUGAAAAAGUAAAAAGUCUUAAAGCUGUAGAUGUAGCACAGUGGUAAAGUAUCUCUGGAUUUAAUUCCCAGUAUUGCCAAACACACACACACACACAAUGGAUACUGCUUUAUACCUUCAAGAAUAGCUAAAAUUAAGAGAAUGACAAUAUCAAAUUUUACGAGGAAUGUAGAAGGUUUGCAACUCUCAGACACUGCUAGUGGGAGUGUAAAGUGAGAUAACCACUUUGCAGAUGUCACUCUGCCCUUGUCUGAAUGUUCAUGUCCUCCAAACUUAAUGUGUUGAAACCCUAACUCCCAAGGUAAUAGUAUCAGGAUGUGAGGCCAGUGGAGGUGAUCCCAUCCUAGGGCAGAGCCCCCCAUAAAUAGGAUUACAGCCCUUAGAAGAGGAGCCUAAGACCCCUAGCCUUUCCCAGCCCUUACGCAUCCUGCGUCUACAGGUGUCUUGAUAUUGGACUUCGAGCCAAAGGAACUGAGAAGUUUCCCAUUGUCUAUAAGCCACACACCUUAGAGCACUUUGUUACAGUCCCUAGCCCCCCACCCAAGGAACCAAGACCACCUCCCUGUGGCUCAACAGUGCAGCCCUAGGAACUUACUCAGGAGUGAAAAUGGAAAUUAACAGAGGGUCAUUUGAAAAUGUCCAUAGUGAAGUUAUUCUAAUAGCCUCAAAACUGGGAACACCCCAAAUGUCAUCCAUGGGUAGACAGAUUCGAAGUUGUCUUGUUAGUGUAGGACCGCAAGGUAGUGCAGGCAUAGGCAGAGCUUAUGGUGGUGAGCCUCAGGACAGCAGUUGGCCCCAGUGGGGUGCUGACUGGAGCCUUGGGCCACUUGUUAGGGUUUAUGGCACCAUGGCACACAUUUGUCAGACUCAUAAAACCACAUACUGAAAGGUGGUUUUUGGUUUAUGCCAACAUUUUUUACAGAAUGACGUUAGAUGAAGCCUUACCAUUUGGUACUAUGCCCUUUUGUGUUCUGUUGUGGUACUAGGGAUCCAUCCCAGGGGUGCUCCACCACUGAGCUACACCCCCAGCCUUACUCUUUGGACACAACCUUGCUGAGCUGCUGAAGGGGCUGUAGCUGGAGAUCUCCCAGUUUCAGCCUGGGCGUGGCUAGAACCACAGGUGUGCAUCGACAUGCCCACUGUAACACCCUCUUAGCUUUCCCGUGGUAUGAAGUGGCCAGCUUUCCAAGAAAACCUCCUAGUGCCGGCAGCGGCAGGACAGCUCUCAGCCAGCACUGGCUUAGGGCGUGUGCUGCAUGGCUGGGCAGUGGUGCUGGGGGUAGGUGUGUUGAGUGCAUUUCCAACUUAUCUUCAACUUACAGUAGUUCAUCAGGCAGCAGGUAACCCCACCCUAAGUUGGGGAGCAUGGUACCGUGAGCGUGGCUGUCCCCAACAUUUACCAUUCAGCCUUUGUGACAGCACCAGGCCUGGCCAACCAGGCCUAGCCAGAUCACCUGCCUUCUGGGUGAAUUUAGGUGACAAACUCGAUUCCUGUGAAGCAGGAAUGAGUACCUGUCUUGGAGGUGAGGCAGCAUGUGCCAUGCCCUGGCCACAGAGCCUCUGUCCUGUGAAGCUGUCAUUGCUGGAGCCCGGCUGCCAGCUUGUAUCUACACACAGGCCUCUCAGUGGGGCAGAGGUCUCCCAGUCACCCAGGGUUCCUGGAGUGCCGAGAGAACCGUUGCGAGAAUAAGCCACGGUGAAGAGAUGUCCUCUACAAGAAGUGCUGCCACAGGAAGGAGCAGAUGCAAGCAGUGCCCAGCUCCUAGGCUGCUCCAUGCAACAGGAGAGCCAGGGUCUCGUGCCCACGCUUCACAACAGCCGUGCCUGAGAGCCGACAGUGGUCCUCCUCCCCAGAGCUGUGAAGCCUCCCUCAUCAGUUUUCUUACGCUUGACCUGCCACCGGCAAGACCAGUGUCUCAUUUCAGUCACUUGAGUUUGGGGUUUCUGACUGUACUGUCAUGAUGGGGUCCUGAUGGCACCGUCUCCUCACUCCCACCCAGUGCCACCUACGUGCAGUUAACAGAAGGAGUCAGACCCCCAGGUAAGCAGCUCUGCUGCUGGCCUCCAUCUACCAUGAGGCAGGAGGGAGAGGAUUUGCCCACCAGGUGGCGCUGGAUUCCUACGGCUGAGCAGAUGAAGCCUGGAAGAAUGGCAGCCUUGGAGGAGCGGUUUGAGCAUUCUUUACAUUAGCUGGAUUUCUCACAUCUUGUGGUAAGACUGGCAGGCACACAGAGCCAAGGAAAUGACGCACUGAAGCAGGGCCCAAAAUGCUAAGGUGGGUCCUGCAGGUGCUAGAGCACCUGUCCCACACAUGGAGGCCAAAGGAAGCGCUCUGCGGGUUGGAUGAAGAAUGAUUCAGAAAAACAACAGCUCUUUUCCUGAUUUUGGCAUAAACCCCCUUAUUCGAAAUGGAGACGGCAUCUCAAGCAGCUCAGAGGAAGGGGCGCCAGGAGCUCCCUGCACUGACUGGGGAAGGCGGCGUUGAAGUUCUGCCCGUGUUGCGCUGUCCUGCUGAUGUGGUAGGCUAGCAAUACUUUGGUUAAAAUCAUGUUUGUGACUGUAA
This is a long non-coding RNA of Marmota monax (woodchuck), 3119 nucleotides long. RefSeq lists it as uncharacterized. The record is from RefSeq and is a predicted model, not a curated record. NCBI's taxonomy places the organism in Eukaryota, Metazoa, Chordata, Mammalia, Rodentia, Sciuridae. The transcript is spliced from 3 exons.